UUCCAGUUUUAUACUUGAAAUAAAAAGCUGGUUUAAGGAAGGGGGGGCGGGGUUUCCCGGAAAUAAUCUACGGAGCAAGGCGGGCAAGGAAGAGCUCAAAUGGAGAGUCACCACGUGCUGAGGAGUGGAGGUCUCAAGACUUUCCUGGAAGUUGAGGCCUUUGCCGCGGACUUAAACCAACGUGCGUCCCCCACGCCCUUCACCAACACAGUAGCGGUUAUGACAAGCGUCCAGGUUGGGUUGCAUGCACGUACAUUCCUAUCCACACGCUCACUCCUUCCGUGCAUGCUUAUGGGCGGCACAGUGGGUGCAAAAACGUCGGUGAGAAUGCAGAACGGUGAGUGGCAGCAGAAUUCCUGGGUUAAACUAACGCAGCAUUUAAAAGAAGGGGGGGCCCUUGCAGGACAUUUCUCCCCUUCUCCAAGGAAGGGUUAUCCAAGGUGCUUGGCCGUGGGAGCCGGGCUGAAGGCACCUGCGGAAGAGACUCGGGGGGCGGCGGCGGUAACUCGGGGUUGGCGCUGUGCGAAGCUUUACGGUAUCAGUGGAGGGAAGCAGCGGGGGGGGGGGGCAGGGACGGGAACGUGCAUCGUAUUGGGGCGCUGUGCUCUUGCGGGGGACCACGACCCCCCAAAAACGGGACGUCCGGAACAGUUGUUCCACGGACCCUCUAGGUGGGUUACGCUGGGUCUGGGGACCCCCUGUUUACAGGAAAUACGAGGGAGCGGUGACAUGAUAGAAGCCUAUAAAAUUACGCAUGGCAUGAAGAAAACGGAUAGAGAAUCGUCUAUCUCUCUCUGUUAUCACACUAAUCUAGAACUUGUGGACACCAAACGAAGCUGAAUGCAGCAAGAUUCAGGACACAGAAAAGGAAGUCCUUCUUCACGCAGCACAUGGAACUCUCUCCCACAAGAGACAGUGACGACCACCAACUUGGAAGGCUUUCAAAGAGGAUUGGGUGGACUGUGACUGGCCCGGGUCACCCGGAGAGUUUCUAGGCUGACGGGGGCGGCGGGGUGUUUGGCAGAGGCAUACCCAGGAGCCCCCGCAAGAGGCUACCCUCCGGGGAAGGCGCCCAAAGCCCAUUGGAGAGAAACAGGCACCAUUUGCCCGGCAGGCGCCCGCGUGCUCCAAGUGGCCUCGACGGUGGUCUGUGGGUCCACUUGGUUUGGCCGUCUGACGCAUCUCCCUUUGAGCCUUAGCCGCCUCGAGCGGCAAUCUGCUGGAAAUGGAGGUAUAAAAAUGACCCAUAAACGAAUUCACCGACUUGGGGGUGAAGAGUGGGAG
Molecule: non-coding RNA, 1284 nt
Organism: Podarcis lilfordi (Lilford's wall lizard)
Lineage: Eukaryota; Metazoa; Chordata; Lepidosauria; Squamata; Lacertidae
Source: the annotation of a GenBank genome assembly